UGAGGAAUAUUGCACAAUGGAGGAAACUCUGAUGCAGCAACGCCGCGUGGAGGAUGACGCAUUUCGGUGUGUAAACUCCUUUUAUUAGGGAAGAUUAUGACGGUACCUAAUGAAUAAGCACCGGCUAACUCCGUGCCAGCAGCCGCGGUAAUACGGAGGGUGCAAGCGUUACUCGGAAUCACUGGGCGUAAAGGGUGCGUAGGCUGGCUUUUAAGUCAGAUGUGAAAUCCAAUGGCUCAACCAUUGAACUGCAUUUGAAACUGAAAGCCUAGAGUUCAGAAGGGGCAGAUGGAAUUAGUGGUGUAGGGGUAAAAUCCGUAGAUAUCACUAGGAAUAUCAAAAGCGAAGGCGAUCUGCUGGGAUGAUACUGACGCUGAGGCACGAAAGCGUGGGGAGCAAACA
This 402-nucleotide ribosomal RNA is filed under the name uncultured prokaryote. RNAcentral describes it as "bacterial SSU rRNA". It matches the Rfam family "Bacterial small subunit ribosomal RNA", at positions 355 to 774 of the family's 1533-position model. The record is from RNAcentral.